AACGCGACCCCAGGUCAGGCGGGGCUACCCGCUGA
Molecule: ribosomal RNA, 35 nt
Filed under: Ficus langkokensis
Lineage: Eukaryota; Viridiplantae; Streptophyta; Magnoliopsida; Rosales; Moraceae
Also listed under: 1 other name
Description: partial 28S ribosomal RNA
Source: RNAcentral